CUCUGGAAAGCGGGCAGGCCUAGGCCGAGCCCCACCGAAGGAGCAACCGGCGCUCAGCCGGGAAAUCUCUCAGGUGAUGAGGACAGAG
This 88-nucleotide non-coding RNA is filed under the name Pelagibacterium sp. Its description in RNAcentral is "Glycine sequence". It matches the Rfam family "Glycine riboswitch aptamer", at positions 9 to 86 of the family's 94-position model. Rfam says of the family: This family represents the bacterial glycine riboswitch. Glycine riboswitches usually consist of two metabolite-binding aptamers domains with similar structures in tandem. The aptamers cooperatively bind glycine to regulate the expression of downstream genes. Lineage: Bacteria; Pseudomonadati; Pseudomonadota; Alphaproteobacteria; Hyphomicrobiales; Devosiaceae. The record is from RNAcentral.